CCUACGGGUGGCAGCAGUAGGGAAUCUUCCACAAUGGGCGAAAGCCUGAUGCAGCAACGCCGCGUGGGUGAAGAAGGUCUUCGGAUCGUAAAACCCUGUUAUUAGAGAAGAAAGUGCGUGAGAGUAACUGUUCAAGUUUCGACGGUAUCUAACCAGAAAGCCACGGCUAACUACGUGCCAGCAGCCGCGGUAAUACGUAGGUGGCAAGCGUUAUCCGGAUUUAUUGGGCGUAAAGGGAACGCAGGCGGUCUGUUAAGUCUGAUGUGAAAGCCUGCGGCUUAACCGGAGUAGUGCAUUGGAAACUGGCAGACUUGAGUGCAGAAGAGGAGAGUGGAACUCCAGGUGUAGCGGUGAAAUGCGUAGAUAUAUGGAAGAACACCAGUGGCGAAAGCGGCUCUCUGGUCUGUAACUGACGCUGAGGUUCGAAAGCGUGGGUAGCAAACAGGAUUAGAUACCCCUGUAGUC
RNAcentral lists this ribosomal RNA (465 nucleotides) under uncultured bacterium. RNAcentral describes it as "partial 16S ribosomal RNA". It matches the Rfam family "Bacterial small subunit ribosomal RNA", at positions 338 to 795 of the family's 1533-position model. The record is from RNAcentral.